UUUCCGAAGGGUUGCACUUGGGUCUCCUGCAGUGGGGGAUCAGGGCGGGUGGGUGGUCUCAGAGUGGAUCAGGGUGUUCUCGGAGAGAGGGUUGGCACCUAGGAUUCCUCUGGAAGUGGGUGGCUUUUGGGUGAUCUCACCGAGAGGGCCUGGGACCCGGCUCCGAACAGGUCCAGGCUUCUUUUUUGUCGUGUCGUCUUUGUUUUAGCAAGUGCCUGUCAAGCUUGGCCUGUCUCAUCGUGUGGCCUGUGUGUCUGCAGCGUUCCUGUGCCUGGCAUUUCCUGUCUGACAACUUUCCCCGAGUCCUUGAAUCUCCCUGGGGUUGUUCACGUGUCUGGGUACAGCGUGCAUGACCACGGCUGUCCCCGGCAUCUCCUGGAUGGUGGGGGACGUGACAGGGUUUCUCUGACUCCGUGGACCAUUUUCUAUUGUGAUUCUGUGGCCUAAAUUUUGAGACAAGUUUUCACUAAGUUGCUGAAUUGCCCAGAGUUGACCAUGAUUCCCUGCUUAGUGCUAGAAGAAGAAGAAGAAGAGGAAGAGGAGGAGGAGGAAGAAGAGGAGGAAGAGGAGGAGGAGGAGGAAGAAGAAGAAGAAGAAAGCAAAAACCAAACACAUGGAAAAUGCCAGUGAUGCAAAAUCAAGUACAGUAAAAGAUGCAUCUGUUUUCACCCUGACUCCCCCCAGUUUUUGCAUACCUCCAGAAAUAUUUUAUACAGAUAGAUCUGCGUGCUGAAGCAAACAAAAAAAAUCUUUGUUUUCUACAUAGCAUCCUGUACCUUGCUGCUUUCUGAGCCCUCAGAGAUUUCUAUCAAGGUCCAGAGAAGCGAGUGAGUCUUCUCUCCCCCUCAGUGAACAAACCCAUGCUGCUAACAGCCCGACCAUUGCUUUCUGAGCACAGUUGAGGUCAUUUCCAUCCAGGACGGUUUUGCUACAAAUGUCUCCUCCCUGUCUGUCUGCCCAGACAUCGGAACUGGCCUUUGAACCGGGGUGGUUGCGUGACAAGAUCAAGCCGCACACACAGUCUCCUGGGGACGCCAGGGUCCUCAGGCCACUGGUAGCGAUGGCGGGUAACUCUGCUGAGCACAGAUAUGGCUCCCUGGUUCUGCGAUCGACCACACAAGGUGGUCGCCGGGGUCCAGCCCAUUUCACAGAUGAGGAAACAGAGGCUUGGAGAGGUGGAGGGAUUUGCUUAGGAUCACACACCUAGCAAGAGGCGGUGUUGGGACUGAAGUCAAGCCAUGUGAUCCUAUGCUGUGCUGGUCUUCAGUUGGAAACGUGUCCAGGCACACGGUACCAUGUUGGAAACAAUCCCACAGCAGCCAAAUCUGAGUACCACUUCAUUUUGUUUUACUUUAUUUCUCAGUAUUACGGAUUGAAUCCAGGACCUUCAUACCUAACUAUAAUAUCCUCAGCUCCUUCAUAAGAUCCUUAAUUUGGAAAUAGAGUCUGUCUCUCUAAGUCACAAAGUUGCCCAGCUUGGGUUUGAACUCAUUGUCCUCCUGCCUCAGCCUCCCACAG
Molecule: long non-coding RNA, 1518 nt
Organism: Fukomys damarensis (Damara mole-rat)
Lineage: Eukaryota; Metazoa; Chordata; Mammalia; Rodentia; Bathyergidae
Exons: 3
Source: RefSeq, a predicted model, not a curated record